Molecule: ribosomal RNA, 421 nt
Filed under: uncultured Peredibacter sp.
Lineage: Bacteria; Pseudomonadati; Bdellovibrionota; Bacteriovoracia; Bacteriovoracales; Bacteriovoracaceae
Description: bacterial SSU rRNA
Rfam family: Bacterial small subunit ribosomal RNA
Source: RNAcentral
AGGGAAUAUUGCGCAAUGGGGGAAACCCUGACGCAGCAAUGCCACGUGAGUGAGGAAGGCCUUCGGGUUGUAAAGCUCUGUCCUAUAGGAAGAACGGCUUUGGGUAACGCCAAAGUUUGACGGUACUAUAGAAGAAAGCACCGGCUAACUCCGUGCCAGCAGCCGCGGUAAUACGGAGGGUGCGAGCGUUGUUCGGAUUUACUGGGCGUAAAGCGCGCGCAGGCGGACUAGCAAGUCAGAUGUGAAAUCUCGGGGCUCAACCCCGAAACUGCGUCUGAAACUGUUAGUCUAGAAUCUCAUAGGGGGUAGGGGAAUUUCACGUGUAGGGGUAAAAUCCGUAGAGAUGUGAAGGAACACCUGAGGCGAAGGCGCCUGCCUGGAUGAGUAUUGACGCUGAGGCGCGAAAGCGUGGGGAGCAAAC